CUUCCGGGUCCCCCGCGGUCUCCCCCGUCCCCUGCCCGGUCUCCUGUGGCCGCCCCUGCCUCCUGCCCGGUCCCUGUCCUGUGCGUCGGGCCCUUCCCAAGGUGCAGAGGGCGCCACUGCAGACCCGAGGUCGCGGCCACCGGCUCCUGGGCCAGGCCCUUUUUCUCGCCUCAAGAGCCGUCAAGGGGAGGGUCUCCAGGGUGCUUGUUUGGGGAAAGCGGAAACAGACUGUCUGGGCCGCUGUUAAAAUGUCAGCAGCCAAGGAAGAAGCAGCGACCUGGCGUCUGCUCGGGCCAGGGUUGAUAGAGAGGAGUGGAGUGAUAUCGGACACCCAGCUUCAGCAAGCUCUCUCCAAGGGUGAGUGGGCCAGUGGGACCUGGGUCUCCGGACCAAGAAGCCGCGAGCCUGCCCUGCUCACAGUGGAUAACUUUCUUUCUGAAGUUGAUUUUCCAAGGACAAAGGAAUCGUUAGGACAAAUUAUUAUUACUGCUUCAUGGUGGAGAUGCUUCUGGUUUAUUUUGUGGCUACCGCUGUUACUGCUUGGAGUGCCUCACCGAGCCAGCUAACAACUGCGUGCGUGAGCACAGGGAAAGGCUUCUUGAGAAAUGAAAACUAGGUUGUAGGUUUAGGAGGGGAAUAGGAAGGUUAGCUCUGUCCAGCCGAAAGCCUUUUGGUCAGUUGGAGGUCCUUGAAUUUCCUGGGUGACUGCAUCUUGGUGACUUCUCUGAAUAGACCUUCAAGGGCACUGGGGGGUGAUUGUUGGAGGGCUUGGGGAGCUCAGGCAGCACUUGUGUGGGAACUUGGCUGUUACAGGAACUGCAGAAACUGGGACUGGGUUCCUGGGGAAAGGAUUGGGGGUGUUGGAGGCGCUGGCAGGGGAGUUAUGGGGAGGCGUUCUUAUCAGUGUGCGAAUAUUGGGCGUUCAGGCAGCGGGAAAUCCGGGUCCUUGCGUGUUGUGAGCUCCCUGGAGUUACGUUCUUGCCAGUUUCAGCUCAAUUGAUCCCCCUCCCCUGAGCUAUCAUUGGAUACAUUUUACUUCAUUGAACACCUGACUGCUGCUUUUUCUGUAAUCCCUCAGGGGCAGUCAUCUUUUCUGAUUCUGUGUAUAGUUUGCCUUUCCAGAUCCGUGCCAUUUAAGCUAGAAAAGGGGUCAGUUUUGAGAUGUUGUGAAAAUGUUGAAAGGCUCCUCGUUAUUAGUGGGAAGUAUCUGAUGUUGCCAGAGACUGAACUGGGGCGCGGGGAGCACUACGGCUGCUAGACACUGCCUCACUGCGCUGUGGGUUGGGCGGCGGGGGGGGGGUGCUGGAUUCAGUCUUACUGCCUAAUGAUUUGUGAGGAUUUGUGUUUUCAGAGUAACAUGUUUACCUUAUGUUAUCAGUUCCUAAUAUGUGACGUAUGGGCCACAGAUGCUGGUGUAUUAUUUCACAUGCAUUUAUAUAGAUUGUUUUCAGGGAAUUCAGA
This 1461-nucleotide long non-coding RNA is filed under the name Pan troglodytes (chimpanzee). RNAcentral describes it as "long non-coding RNA NONPTRT012287". Lineage: Eukaryota; Metazoa; Chordata; Mammalia; Primates; Hominidae. The record is from RNAcentral.